This is a non-coding RNA of Plasmodium knowlesi strain H, 51 nucleotides long. The record is from Rfam. NCBI's taxonomy places the organism in Eukaryota, Apicomplexa, Aconoidasida, Haemosporida, Plasmodiidae.
UCAUCGGCUCCUUUAACGUAGGAGCCACCCACAGAAACAGACUGGUUACUU